CUAGAAAAAUAAAGCUACUAAACAAAACGUCAUUUUAUAUAUAUUACAAAUGAUAAUAGUUCAUUAAAGCCCCUAAUGAAAGUUAAUGUGUGAUUGGGCCGUCAUUAGGCUGAGGAAAGGUAAAGACACAUUACAAUUAAUAUAAAUAAAAGUCUAUGAUUUCUGGAUCACGAUGCACAAGAUAUGCAUUACUUGUUAACCGCUCGGCUACAUUAUUAACUUAAGCGUCGGAGUGCCUUUGACAGAUGUCCGUCCCUACGGCUUGGAGAAGGAGAGAGAGCGAACAAUACAGCUUUAUGAAAACGACUAAGAAGCUUGUCCGGCCUUCAAUGAACUCACUCAGUCUUAGAGACAACAAGUAAGGUCCGUUCGGUCUUCAAGACAACCUAGAGUGUUUAGGUUCAUCCGGUCUUCAAGGUUCGCCUACUCUUCAAGAUCCAUCCAUCUUCAAGGUCAAUGCGGUCUUCGAGACAAUAGGGAAUGUUUUGAACAAGGGACCUCCAAACCCUACCAAAACAAACAGUAUCAAAGCUUGUAAAAUGUACUCAGAAGCAUUUCGAGGCAGGGUAUGAAGCAACUUGUAUAGGCCACCCUUAAUUCAAAAAAAGAAAUAAUUAGGAACAGAAAGUUUAACAUGAAUAAUGCAAGAAGCAACACUGACAAUUGCCUACAUAAACUAAACUGCAGAACGUUUAACAUGAAUAAUGCAUGUUUAAAUUACCAUCAGUGAUCCACAUCUCAGCAAACCAUGACCAUAAACCACACUACAUAGUUGCUUCUGCAUCUAAGUUUGUUGUAUAAAUAUACCAAAAAAUGUACAUCCUUCGGCAGAAUGGUCUAUUUGGUCGUGAAAGUGUGGUGUGAUUCCAAGUUGGCAUGACCUUUUCUAACUCAUUUACAAAACCCUUAGGAACUAUUCAAAUUAUGACAUCAGAUCAGAC
RNAcentral lists this long non-coding RNA (941 nucleotides) under Vigna radiata. Its description in RNAcentral is "long non-coding RNA (VRAD_LNC004138)". Lineage: Eukaryota; Viridiplantae; Streptophyta; Magnoliopsida; Fabales; Fabaceae. The record is from RNAcentral.